UACAGAGGGGGCAAGCGUUGUUCGGAAUUACUGGGCGUAAAGGGCGCGUAGGCGGUCCUCUAAGUCAGACGUGAAAUCCCUCGGCUCAACCGGGGAACUGCGUCUGAGACUGGAAGGCUUGAAUUCGGGAGAGGGAUGUGGAAUUCCAGGUGUAGCGGUGAAAUGCGUAGAUAUCUGGAGGAACACCGGUGGCGAAGGCGGCAUCCUGGACCGAUAUUGACGCUGAUGCGCGAAAGCGUGGGGAGCGAACAGG
Molecule: ribosomal RNA, 253 nt
Filed under: uncultured bacterium
Lineage: Bacteria
Description: partial 16S ribosomal RNA
Rfam family: Bacterial small subunit ribosomal RNA
Source: RNAcentral